This 253-nucleotide ribosomal RNA is filed under the name uncultured bacterium. RNAcentral's name for it is "partial 16S ribosomal RNA". It matches the Rfam family "Bacterial small subunit ribosomal RNA", at positions 524 to 776 of the family's 1533-position model. The record is from RNAcentral.
UACGUAGGGUGCGAGCGUUAAUCGGAAUUACUGGGCGUAAAGCGUGCGCAGGCGGUUUUGUAAGCCAGAUGUGAAAUCCCCGGGCUUAACCUGGGAAUGGCAUUUGGGACUGCAAGGCUGGAGUGUGGCAGAGGAGACUGGAAUUCCUGGUGUAGCAGUGAAAUGCGUAGAUAUCAGGAGGAAUACCGAUGGCGAAGGCAGCCCCCUGGGUUAACACUGACGCUCAUGCACGAAAGCGUGGGGAGCAAACAGG